This is a non-coding RNA of Caenorhabditis elegans, 83 nucleotides long. The record is from Ensembl. NCBI's taxonomy places the organism in Eukaryota, Metazoa, Nematoda, Chromadorea, Rhabditida, Rhabditidae.
AAAAUUAUGCGCCGAAGUACGGUACCCAAUCUCCCGAAAAUCAGGUUACUGUACUUCUUGAAGGCGCACGCGUGUUUUGCUCG